GGCGCGCUAUGGACCCCGCCUCGCGGAGACGCCUGGCUCGGGCCUUGUCCCCAGUGAGCGGCUGGAGCGGCCGCGGGGUCGCAGAGCCUCCGGGACCCCGAGGAAGGGCGCCCCUCGGAGUUGCCCGAGGCCGGGCCCGGCGUCCACUCGCCACUCGCCUCGCCCCUCCCCGGCCCCGCACCGCCCUCCACCCCGCCUCCUUCGGGUUCCUUCUGCGUCCGGCAGAGCCUGCGCGCCUCCCCCGGACGGCCACGGACUCGCAGCCUCGGCGAGGACGCUGCCUGCGUCCCGACUGCCUGGACCUCCCCGCGUGGCUCCCGGCGAAGCCCAGCAGCCGGAGGGUGCCAGGUCCGCCUGACGCGCCCCUCCCCACGGGAAGAACGGGGCGGGGGUCCAGGAGGGACGUAAGCCGGGCUCCCCCGGCGUGUUGAUCCGAACCCGCGCGGGAAAACUUGCGCAAACCAAAGGAGGGAAGAGUCAGGCAGCCCCCAGCCCCCCAGGGAGGCCCAGGUGAAAAACAGACGCCGGCCUCGCCUCUCCCGGUGCGGAUGAUCCCGGCACUCCCACCCCCGCCCCUGCUGCCCCGAGUUCGGCUCCCUCAGCCCCACAUCCUCUCUGGUCAUCUAAGUGGACUGCAGCUGCUCAGGGAGCAUGUCGCGAAGGAUAGGGAAGGACAGGGGGUCUGCUUCCCCAGCCGCCCUCCAGACCCCCAGGGCUGGUAGGGGCCGGCAACCCUAUGCCCCAACCUGGCCUGCUGCAGGUGAGGGGGGCACACCAGGGUAACACAGGAGCAGGAGGGGGAGAAAGCCUGGCUAGAGCAUCCACCUCAUAGGCACCUUCCUUGUGUCCAGGGUGCAGAUGCCAGGGCUCUGAGGCCCUGAGGUCCUGUCUGGGGCGAGGGGGCUUCCUCCAUCCACUGCAUCCACUGCCCGGCUGAGUCUAGAGGCCACUGAGCAAGCAGACCCUCCAAAGCCAGGCACACUCAGGCCCUCACAUGGUCACGGUGCUUAUGCUCUGGGCCAGCCUGGAUUGCUCAUCCCUAGCUGAGAUUGGGAUUCACAGGGUCUUCCAGUUCCCCCUUUUCUUUCUCUACUGAUUGAGAAACACAGAGUCCUUUGAUUGCUCUGGGACCUGGCCAUUGCGUGUUCCCUGCAGCCUUGAACCCAGUUCAAUGGGGCCGGGCACAUUCCCUGAUAAAGCUGUUUAGGUUGCUUGAAAACACAAUCAACCCUAUUGCUAAACACGUAGAAACUGGCCCUGCCCUGAGUCCAAUCCCUUAAACUCUCAUCUAAGCUCCAUAGCCAGAGUCCCUUGCUGCAAAUGUACCUGGGUGGAGCAUCCCUUGCCUCAUCAUCGAUCCCAAGAAAGCUGAAGCUCCAUGUGAAAAUUUCCGGAAGAAAUGCUCUGGACUGAUCACCCUGGCGUUUAGAGCUUCUUUCCUUGGAAUCCCAACCAAUUCCAUCGCGGGACUGUUUGGGGAAGUCUUUUGAGGCAACUCCCUUGCUGCCACUUUUGGGGCAACUCUAGCCUCCUCAUAUUUGGCCAGAUAGAACAGUUCCAAGCUGUAAAUGUUUCCAGGAAAAAAUCUCAACUACAAAGACACUUUCAAGGUGCUGCAUUUCCAACAGCACUCUCCGUAUCCGAGUGGACAGCCCAGAGCAAUGGUGCUUCCAAUCCACAGAGCCCCUCCACAGGUCCCUUGCCAUCUGCAGACACCCACAUCUCAAGACGGGGUUUCUCCAUGUUGAGGCUGGUCUCGAACUCCUGACCUCAGGUGAUCUGCCUGCCUCAGCCUCCCAAAGUGCUGGGAUUACAGGCGUGAACCACCGCGCCCGGCCUAGGAUUUCCUCCUUUGACGAUGAAUAGUUCUCCACUGUAGUCUCACUCUUUCUCCCAGGCUGGAGUGAAGUGGCGUGCUCUCAGCUCACUGCAACCUCCACUCGCCGCUCCACUCCCUGGUUCAAGCAAUUCUCCUGCCUCAGCCUCCCAAGUAGCUGGGAUUACAGUCCGGCUCUGUCAUCCAGGCUGGAGUGCGAUGGUGCCAUCUCGGCUCACUGCAACCUCCGACGCCCAGGUUCAAGCGAUUCUCCUGCCUCAGCCUCCCGAGUAGCUGGAACUGCAGCCAGAGACCUCCACGGCCGGCAACGCCCCUGCGCAAGGCCUCACGGCUCCAGGCUGUUGGAGGUACCUGCCCACUCAACCUGGGCUGGCUGUUGGAGGUACCUGCCCACUCAACCUGGCGGGCUGUGCGUGGCUUGUGCUUUGGGCUGGAUCCCACGCUCGCCAUGGGAUCUGCACUCGGACUGCAGCUGGGCCGGGCAUGCCAUGACCUGCUUCCACCUUGGGUGCUGACGUCUGGAUGAGAGGAACAUGGUGGCGCCUGAAAAAUCUGGAGACACCAGAAACCCUGGAUCCCCAAAGGAAGUGUUAUUCCCGCUGUCCGUGCUGUGGGUGUGAAGAUGUGUGCUGCACAUCCCAGUUUCCAGCACAGGACAAAGACUCAGAGAGGCACCUGCCAGGAGUCUCAGGUGAUGGAACCCAGUGGCGGGCAUGUGGGCAGCUGCCCCAGGUGGAAGGGAUCGUGGCACAGCUCUUGGUUCCCCAGGCUGGCCCUGACCUUCGUGCUUUCCUGCCCAUGGCCCAGACUUCCGAGCUCCAUGUUGGGGAUGCUCAGGGACAACCCUUCAGCCUCCCCCACCAUGUCCCGGCUACUGCCCAGGAUUCUUGUUCUCUGGAGGGUGGAUCCAGCCCUCCCCAUCUUGGUGCCCUACCAGGGCCAGGCUUCCCAUGGCUCUUUCUGCAGCCCCUGGCACAGACUGUGGGGCGCACAGCCCGGGGAGCAGUGGGCCUUGGAGGGGCCAGGUCUGCAUGUUCCCACCCCCAUCAUGGAGUUUGACACACCAGUGGGCAGGUAACUCAAUCCCCCCUCACCUUCUCUUCAUCUGUUAGGGGUGACAGGGUGCUCCCCGUGGGGCCAAGAGGAUGCAGCACCCCCACCGGCUACCCUUCCGGCCACACCCUUCUCUCCUGGCCCACCUUCUGAGCUGGCAGGGCUUCCUUCCUGGCUUCUGCUGGGCAGUGUAUUAGGGUCCUCUAGAGAGACAAAACCAAUAAUGGAGUUUAGGAGAGGGGAUUUUUAUUUGUUUGAGACAGAGUCUUGCCCUGUCACCCAGGCUGGAGUGCAGUGGCUCGAUCUCGGCUCACUGCAACCUCUACCUCCCAGGUUGAAGUGAUUCUCCUGCUUCAGCCUCCCGAGUAGCUGGGAUUACAGGCACCCAGCACCACACCCAGCUACUUUUUGUACUUUUAGUAGAGACGGGGGUCUCACCAUGUUGGCCAGGCUGGUCUUGAACUCCUGACCUCAGGUGAUCCACCUACCUCUGCCUCCCAAAAUGCUGAGAUUACAGGGGAGAGCUACCGCGCCCGGCCAGGAGAGGGGAUUUAUUAGGCGAACUGGCCCACACACUUAUGGAGGCUGAGAAGUCCUCCCAUAGGCUGUCUGCAAGCUGGAGACCUAGAGAAGCUGUAAGUGAGGCUCAGUCCAGGUAAGAAGGUGGUUGAACCAAGGAAGCCAGUGGUGUAACUCUCAUUCUGAGGCUGACUGGCCGAGAGCCCUGGGAGGCCUCUGUGGCAAGCCUGAGUCCAAAGGCCGAAGAACCUGGAGUCCUGAUGUCCAAGGGCAGGAGAUGGGUGUCUCCCUCCAGAAAAGAGAAUUUGCUUGUCUUCUCCCUUUGUGUUCCAUCUGGGUCCCCAACCAAGUGGAUGUGCCUGCCCACGCUGAGGGCAGAUCUUCACUGAGUCCACUGAAAACAUCCUCACACACUCAGAAACAAUGCUUCGCCAGCUGCCAAGUACAGUGUGUGUGCCUUAGUCCCAGCUACUCAGGAGGCUAAGGUGGGAGAAACGCUUGAGCCUGGGAGCUGGAGGCUGCAGUAAGCCAUGAUUGUGCCAUUGCACUCCAGGCUGGCUGACAGAGAGAUCCUGCCUCAAAAAAAGAGAUAGAUAGAUAGAUAGAUAGAUAGAGCUCCACCAGCCAUCUAGGCUUUUUUUUUUUAAACAGGGUGUCACUCUGUCAACCAGGUUGGAGUGCCGUGGUGCUAUCAUAGCUCACUGCAGCCUUGACUUCCCAGGCUCAACCCAUCCUCCCACCUCAGCCUCCUGAGUAGCUGGGACUACAGCGUACAGGCACAGACCACGAUACCUGACUUAUUUUUAAAUUUUUUGUAGAGAAGUUUCACCAUGUUGCCCAAGCUGGUCUCAAACUCCUGGGCUUAAGCAAACCUCCCACCUCAGCCUCCCAAAGUGAUGGGAUUACAGGCAGGAGACAUGGCAGCCAGCUAAGGCUCCCUGUACCCUGUUAGUCGGCUUUACAGCACCUGGAAUUGACCG
This is a long non-coding RNA of Homo sapiens (human), 4389 nucleotides long. RefSeq lists it as uncharacterized. The transcript has 5 exons. The record is from RefSeq and is marked validated. NCBI's taxonomy places the organism in Eukaryota, Metazoa, Chordata, Mammalia, Primates, Hominidae.